UUGAGCUGUGUGCGGGGAAACUCGCUUGCACAGUUCUUAGGGGGAACGGAGGCGCAAGCCUCCCGCCCUACCCGGU
Non-coding RNA from Candidatus Desantisbacteria bacterium CG2_30_40_21, 76 nucleotides. The record is from Rfam. NCBI's taxonomy places the organism in Bacteria, Candidatus Desantisiibacteriota.